AAGUAGAGAAGUAAAUGAUACAUUUAGUUUCGACCUAAUUUAUUAAGAACAAGAUUCUUCCUACUUA
RNAcentral lists this transfer RNA (67 nucleotides) under Phymatostetha semele. RNAcentral's name for it is "tRNA-Arg". The record is from RNAcentral. Lineage: Eukaryota; Metazoa; Arthropoda; Insecta; Hemiptera; Cercopidae.